This is a small nuclear RNA of Patella vulgata (common limpet), 137 nucleotides long. RefSeq annotates it as U4 spliceosomal RNA. The record is from RefSeq and is a predicted model, not a curated record. Lineage: Eukaryota; Metazoa; Mollusca; Gastropoda; Patellidae. The transcript has a single exon.
AGCUUUGCACAUACCGGUACCAUAGCCAGUGAGGAAUUUCCGGGGCAUGGUUAUUGCUAGUUGAAAACUAUACCCAAUACCCCCGCGCUGACGACCUAAUGGUUGGCAUGCACAUUUUUUGCUGGCUUCUAUGGAAG